Danio rerio (zebrafish) is the source of this 72-nucleotide non-coding RNA. NCBI's taxonomy places the organism in Eukaryota, Metazoa, Chordata, Actinopteri, Cypriniformes, Danionidae. The record is from Rfam.
GGUUCCAUUGUGUAAUGGUUAGCACUCUGAACUCUGAAUCCAGUGAUCUGAGCUCAAAUCUCGGUGGGACCU